This 67-nucleotide transfer RNA is filed under the name Mammilla mammata. Its description in RNAcentral is "tRNA-Cys". It matches the Rfam family "tRNA". From Rfam's summary of the family: Transfer RNA (tRNA) molecules are approximately 80 nucleotides in length. Lineage: Eukaryota; Metazoa; Mollusca; Gastropoda; Littorinimorpha; Naticidae. The record is from RNAcentral.
ACCUACUAUAGUUUAUCUAAAACGUUGAAUUGCAAAUUCAAAGAUGAAAAUAAUAUUCUAGUAAGUU